Molecule: non-coding RNA, 585 nt
Organism: Xyrichtys novacula (pearly razorfish)
Lineage: Eukaryota; Metazoa; Chordata; Actinopteri; Labriformes; Labridae
Source: the annotation of a GenBank genome assembly
GUUUAUCAAGAUCAUAUGCAGACUCCGUUUUACUGUAGAGACAACAUACGAGCCGUUCCAACCUGAGCCAACGCUGGGACGGAGACGGAUUAUGUUUCCUGUUUUUGAUUACAUCAUUUAUUUAAAGUCUGAACAGCCUCUACAAAUCAUGGGACAACCUGUAGAAAAGGUGAGUUCCUUUAAAUAUUUAGGUGCUUAUAUUAACAUCCACCUCAAAUUCAUGAAUAAUACAGAUUGUGUUUUUUUUAAACAACCGUGCAGAGGCUGUACCGACUCAGGAAGCUGAUCGAAAGUUUCUUGAAACAGUGAACAAGAAUCUGAUAAAAAGUAUUAUGUCUCUGUAGCACGGCACAGACACCAGUGUAGAGGCAGAAGAACAGUUCAUGGUUUUCUUACCUGCUCUUACAAGAUUAGUUACAACAAGUGUGUUAGCCUGCCACAUGUAAAUUGUAAAUGUGUGGAAUAAUACCUUUGGAUAUGAGAAAUAAAACUGAAGAUUUUUAAAAAAAAAUUUCAACAUGAAAAGUGUUUCCAGAGCGGAUUUUUGUUGAACUGAGUAGCUGGGCUAGCUACAGACACUGCCUG